Long non-coding RNA from Arachis stenosperma, 639 nucleotides. RefSeq lists it as uncharacterized. The record is from RefSeq and is a predicted model, not a curated record. The transcript is spliced from 3 exons. Lineage: Eukaryota; Viridiplantae; Streptophyta; Magnoliopsida; Fabales; Fabaceae.
AGAGAGGGAGAGCUGCUGAAGUGAGAAGAGAGUGAGGGUUUCCAAAGUUACUAUUCACAUACAACUUCAAUCUAUCAUAUCUUGAGUUACGGUGCUCCGAUUUGCGUGUCGUCAGCGGCUACGCGAAGCUCUCACAGAGCCCGUUACUUUCAUAUAAAUUUUGUAGGUGAUAUCUAAGGUUGGGCUAUUGGUGGUUUGUGCCUCCAAACACCAUCGAAAAAGGAUUGAGGAGGUUCGGAAGGCGGUGGUGAUGGGAUUGCAUGGCGGUUAGGCAGGCGAAGACUAUGGGACAGCGAAGAAUUGUUAGAUUAGAAAUCCACUAAGCUAGAUCCCCUUAUUUUAUCUAUGGUUUUAAGUCAUGGUUUUAAAUGUACUUAUGUUUUAAGCUUGAAUCUCGUGAUGGAUAUGAAGUUCUAGGAUUGCCUCUGGCAUCCCGGAGUCUUAUAUCUUAUAUCACUGGCCACUGUUACCAUAUUGAGAACCUCUGGUUCACAUUCCAUACUCUAUUGUUAUUUUUCAGAUGCAGGUCCAACCCACCUCAGUGAGUUGCUUGAUGGUGACAGAGCGGAGGAUCCUUAUUCCACAUUGGAGUCUUUUGGUUAUUUUGAUUAGCUCUCUCACCUUUUAUAUUAAUAUUUG